Molecule: ribosomal RNA, 267 nt
Filed under: uncultured prokaryote
Description: partial 16S ribosomal RNA
Rfam family: Bacterial small subunit ribosomal RNA
Source: RNAcentral
UACGUAGGGGCGAGCGUUGUCCGGAUUUACUGGGCGUAAAGGGUGAGUAGGCGGUUAUAUAUGUCAGGUGUAAAAGGCUAUGGCUUAACCAUGGUUAGCACUUGAAACUGUAUGACUUGAGUGCAGGAGAGGUAAGUGGAAUUCCUAGUGUAGCGGUGAAAUGCGUAGAUAUACGGAGGAACACCAGUGGCGAAGGCGACGUUCUGGUCUGUUAUUGACGCUGAGGCUCGAAAGCAUGGGUAGCAAACAGGAUUAGAUACCCUGGUA